Molecule: ribosomal RNA, 647 nt
Filed under: Rossellomorea oryzaecorticis
Lineage: Bacteria; Bacillati; Bacillota; Bacilli; Caryophanales; Bacillaceae
Description: bacterial SSU rRNA
Rfam family: Bacterial small subunit ribosomal RNA
Source: RNAcentral
GGGAAGCAAACAGGAUUAGAUACCCCUGGGUAGUCCACGCCGUAAAACGUAUGAGUGUUAAAGUGUUUAAGAGGGGUUUUCCGCCCCUUUAGGUGCUGCAGCUAAACGCAUUUAAAGCACUCCGCCUGGGGGAGUUACGGGUCGCAAGACUGAAACUCAAAGGGAAUUUGACGGGGGCCCGCACAAAGCGGUGGAAGCAUGUGGUUUAAUUCGAAGCAAACGCGAAGAACCUUUACCAGGUCUUGACAUCCUCUGACAACCCUAGAGAUAGGGCUUUUCCCCUUCGGGGGACAGAGUGACAGGUGGUGCAUGGUUGUCGUCAGCUCGUGUCGUGAGAUGUUGGGUUAAGUCCCGCAACGAGCGCAACCCUUGAUCUUAGUUGCCAGCAUUCAGUUGGGCACUCUAAGAUGACUGCCGGUGACAAACCGGAGGAAGGUGGGGAUGACGUCAAAUCAUCAUGCCCCUUAUGACCUGGGCUACACACGUGCUACAAUGGACGGUACAAAGGGCAGCGAGACCGCGAGGUUUAGCCAAUCCCAUAAAACCGUUCUCAGUUCGGAUUGCAGGCUGCAACUCGCCUGCAUGAAGCUGGAAUCGCUAGUAAUCGCGGAUCAGCAUGGGGCGGUGAAUACGUUCCCGGGCCUUGU